Mesocricetus auratus (golden hamster) is the source of this 3505-nucleotide long non-coding RNA. RefSeq lists it as uncharacterized. The transcript has 3 exons. Lineage: Eukaryota; Metazoa; Chordata; Mammalia; Rodentia; Cricetidae. The record is from RefSeq and is a predicted model, not a curated record.
UCAGAGGUUGUGGAAGAGGAGGAGCACGGUUAGCUGAGGUGUCCUUGUUGUAUGGGGAAUGUGUCACCACCAGAAGUCCUCUUAAUGUCUGGAGUCUGGCAACCCGAGGCCUGGAAGCCUCCUUGUGGAAACGGCUGUGAGAAAGGCCUGGCUCCUUCGAUCAGCAAUGGCGACUGGGAACCACAGCCCAUGACAGCUGCAGGAAGAGAGCCCUCCAGAGAAGAAAAAACGGCCACGCUUGUACUUGUCAGCCUGCAGGUGCCCAAAGACCUCUGUUAAAAAGAAAUAAGGACUCAGAAGACGUAGCUGGCCUGGUGUGUGGAGGAGGAGGCCUGUGGGUCACCUUAACAAAGGGUGGAAAUUCCAGGGAAGUGGCAAGACUAAGAGAGGCCUGUGUGAAGGGGAAGUUGGUGCAGACCCAUCUCAGGUGCGCGGCUGAAGGGAAAGCUUGUGUCCCCUCAGCUGGGGAGGGACAGAGAAGACUCCUCAGGCAGUGGUGAAGGCCGGCCUGGAGCUUUUCGCUGUUGUUGUUUUCCUUAUAGAGACCCUAGCAGCGAACACAGUUGCCUUCGCCCCGGGCAGAUUUGCAGGGGAAGCACACAAUUGAAACCCUCUGGGCAGGAAUGAAGAUGCCUAAAGAUAGACACUCCCUCCGUUGGCUGUCAGACUAUUGAGAUUAUGGUCCCCAAGUCCCCAGGAGUCUCACAGUGAGAGAAGGAAAAGGCUGGAUCCUGGUGGCAGCUGAUGAAGAACUUGUCUCUCUCUCUAGGUUUCCAGAAGAUGACCCCCCCCUGGGUUUAUAACAGCUUAAGUAUUUCCCAUCAGGCCCAAUCAGGAGCAAGCAUACAUCCUGAUGUACCUCCAGACUACAUCCAAUCAGGGGUGAGCUGUAGUUUGAUUCUAUCCUGCCUGUCAGUUCCCGUAGCUGCUUAGGAAAUAACACUCCGAGGCUUAAUAUCAAUUACAAUUGUUUGACCCAUGGCCCAGAUAUAUUACUGGCUAGCUCUCUCUCUCUCAUAAUUUAACCUAUUUCUAUUAAUCAAUGCAUUACCUCGAGGCUGUGGCUUACCGGUAAUGCUCCUGUAUAUUACUCCUUCGGUGGCUACAUGGCAUCUCCCUGACUCUGUCUUCCUUUUCUCUGCAUCUUUGUUUGGAUUUCCUGCCUAUAUUUUGUCUGGCCAUUGGCCGAAACAGCUUUAUUUGUCAACCAAUAAAAGCAACGCAUAUUCACAGCACACAGAAGGACAUCCCAUAUCAGUAAGUGUACAUCCUGACACUCACCCGGCCUGUGACCCUCCUGUCCACGUGUGACCAAGCACACUUGGUGCAGAAGAGUCAGACAAACUUGUUGAGGAGAAUGAAAAACACGUGGCUUGUUAUCUCCCAUGAACAAUGGCCUCCAGCAUUUCAGGAGCUGUCUGUCCUUGAGCAAGGGGCUUGCAGAUCAGAGACACUUUUGUUUCAUGGAUCCCUAAGGCAUAGUAAUUAAAACUUAAAAUGUUACUUUGUCUCUCAUACUAAUAAGCAGGCGAGGCGAAAGCCAUAGGACAGUUACACAGAGCAAUAUUCCCUUACUCUCACAAGCUUUGUAACAUUAGGAGCAACUCUGCAAGGAGCCUUCUAAUCUACAGAACCAUUCAGAAAGAGAAAAGGUUCGUGGAGCUAGAGAGAUGGCCUGUAGUUCGGAACACUGCGCUCUUCAGAGGACUGGGGCUCAGUUCCCGUUGCCCACAUGGCAGGUAGCAUCAUCUUGACUCCAGCUCCAGGGCAUCUGCUGACCUCUUCCGGCAUCCUCUCACAUUGCAAACGCAUGGCUCACAUAUGUAUGUGCAGGCAGGCAAACACUCACACACAAAUACAUAAAGGCAUCUCUUUAACGACUGCAUCUAGGGCCUGAGGAGAUGGCUCAGUGGUUAAGAGCACUUGACUGCUCUUCCAGAGGAUCCAGGUUCAAUUCCAGCACCCACAUGGGAGGCGUACAACUGUCUGUAACUCCAGUUCCAGGGAAUCCGAUGCCCUCAUCUGGUCUCUGUGGGCACUGCACACAUGUAGUGCCCAGAUAUACAUGCAGGCGAGCACUUAUACACAUAAAAUAAAUUUGAAAGAUUCAAGUUAAAAAUAUAUCUAAACUAAACACUAUAGACUUCCUUUCUGUGUCAUUAUCUCCUAAUCAACACAGUGAAUAUUCCCAGCCUUCAUAUUUUAUGUGGCAGAAACCCUUUACAGAUUUGAAGUGCCCAGGGCGCGUGGACAGGCUAUAUGUGCAAAUGUUAUAUGCUUUAUACAAGUGAACGGGAUAGCUUUGGAUUUUGUCUGUAGGUAGCUAGUAUCCUGGAGGCUGUCCCCUGUAGAUACAGAGGGUGAAUAUAAACAUGUCAUUUUAGAUGUCAUGUCUCUCAUCCCUAAACCCUCAACUGCGUUUCACUGAGGACCAGGCAGGGUGUCUCAUAGCGCCCCCCCCCAAGACCUCUGAGCUGCCUGACCUGGUGGGUCUCUUAGUUCUCUCCAACUCUGGGUCUCUGUAUCUCUUCCGUGGCCUUCUUCAGUGUCCCUGUGGGGCGGCUUCCUCCAGCCCCGUGUCUCUCCAUAGUCUCUGGUCUCAGCCUCUCCCAGCAGGAGGCCAGAAACUACCCAUAGAAGUAUCAGCAUCCUGGGUCCCUUGAAGACAAUAGUGGGGUCCUCUGUGUCUUCCGUUUCUAAUCGGGCACCUAAGGGAAAACAAGCCAUUGCCUGUGGGGUCCUCUGUGUCUUCCUCUUCUAACCAGGCACCUAGUGGAAAACAAGCCAUUGCCCUGGAACUUCACCCCAUGCUGUGACUGGCUCCCCACAGAGCUCUCCAAGUGGGGCCCUCCCUGAGCCUUGAAUUUACUCUUCCCUAGUGAUGCUCCUUCUGCCUCUGCCUUCCCGCCUCCCUCUUCUGCAAGCUUUGACUUGGUUCUCAGAGUUCACCUGGACUUGACGCUUAGACUCAUCUCACCCACUGGAUCUCUACCUGAUUGUGGGGUGGCCUCUGAACUGCCCUUUCUCCUGAGCCUUCUGGGGGAAACCCUCAAUGUCCAGAAACCACGACACACACGCUAGGUUUCAGGAUAGUCACUCUCUGCCUUGGCCUGUUUUCCUUUAUCAGCUGUGUGUUUUACUGACACCCAUGCAUGGCCGGGAGAAGGCAGAGUUGGGGGUGAAAGCCACACAGCACUGCUGACUGCCUCUCACGGCUCACCCCACUGUCCUCUCGCUGUGUCCCGCUGUUAAGUCAUCUCCACCUACUCUGUAUCUGUAUGUACAGCACACUGGAAGCCAAGAAGCAAAUCGGGAUCGAUUGGAUUAGCCCUUGAACGUGUCAGUCCCCAUCACUGUGUCAUGUCACGGGGUCACCCCAGGGGCUGUUAUGCUGGCCAAGCUGAGGGCAGCUCUCAGCCACUGCCAGAUGCCAGUAUAGUCUGUAAGCCCAUGAGGAUGCUUUCGCAGGCUAGACACACCCUACUGUUAGUACUCAUGCAUCUGU